Molecule: transfer RNA, 72 nt
Filed under: Lingula anatina
Lineage: Eukaryota; Metazoa; Brachiopoda; Lingulata; Lingulida; Lingulidae
Description: tRNA-Asp
Rfam family: tRNA
About the family: Transfer RNA (tRNA) molecules are approximately 80 nucleotides in length.
Source: Rfam by way of RNAcentral
UCCUCGAUAGUAUAGUGGUGAGUAUCUCCGCCUGUCACGCGGGAGACCGGGGUUCAAUUCCCCGUCGGGGAG